AAGGGAGACCUAAUUCAGGUAGGAGACGAAAAAAAAGUAGUCCCAACCAAGAAUCAAUCCCAAAAGGUCGGAGCGAGGCGAAAUUGGCUUUCAAACUAGGUUCUGGGUUCACACAAGACCUGAAUCAGGAACAAGGGCUAUUAGCUCAGGUGGUUAGAGCGCACCCCUGAUAAGGGUGAGGUCCCUGGUUCGAGUCCAGGAUGGCCCACCUGCACAGGUGGCAAAAACAGGAGAAGCGAGGAAUCAGCACCUUAUCUUAUCUAUAUAUAUAUAGGAGAGAAUGCUGGCUCUGAGUAAAGAGUCCAGAGGAACCUUGAAAACUGCAUAGAGCUAGGUGAAAAAGCCAAAAAAGAAGACCGCAA
This 362-nucleotide transfer RNA is filed under the name uncultured Microcystis sp. RNAcentral describes it as "partial 16S-23S ribosomal RNA intergenic spacer". The stretch from base 135 to 208 matches the Rfam family "tRNA". Lineage: Bacteria; Bacillati; Cyanobacteriota; Cyanophyceae; Chroococcales; Microcystaceae. The record is from RNAcentral.